This 253-nucleotide ribosomal RNA is filed under the name uncultured bacterium. RNAcentral describes it as "partial 16S ribosomal RNA". It matches the Rfam family "Bacterial small subunit ribosomal RNA", at positions 524 to 776 of the family's 1533-position model. The record is from RNAcentral.
UACAGAGGGGGCAAGCGUUGUUCGGAAUUACUGGGCGUAAAGGGCGCGUAGGUGGCCUUCUAAGUUGAACGUGAAAUCCCUGGGCUCAACCCAGGAACUGCGUCCAAGACUGGGAGGCUUGAAUCCGGGAGAGGGAUGCGGAAUUCCAGGUGUAGCGGUGAAAUGCGUAGAUAUCUGGAGGAACACCGGUGGCGAAGGCGGCAUCCUGGACCGGCAUUGACACUGAGGCGCGAAAGCCAGGGGAGCAAACGGG